Molecule: ribosomal RNA, 1421 nt
Filed under: Kalymmatonema desertorum FI5-JRJ03
Lineage: Bacteria; Bacillati; Cyanobacteriota; Cyanophyceae; Nostocales; Scytonemataceae
Description: bacterial SSU rRNA
Rfam family: Bacterial small subunit ribosomal RNA
Source: RNAcentral
ACGGACUCUUCGGAGUUAGUGGCGGACGGGUGAGUAACGCGUGAGAAUCUGGCUUCAGGUUCGGGACAACAGUUGGAAACGGCUGCUAAUACCGGAUGUGCCUUAUGGUGAAAGAUUUAUCACCUGAAGAUGAGCUCGCGUCUGAUUAGCUAGUAGGUGUGGUAAGAGCGCACCUAGGCGACGAUCAGUAGCUGGUCUGAGAGGAUGAUCAGCCACACUGGGACUGAGACACGGCCCAGACUCCUACGGGAGGCAGCAGUGGGGAAUUUUCCGCAAUGGGCGAAAGCCUGACGGAGCAAUACCGCGUGAGGGAGGAAGGCUCUUGGGUUGUAAACCUCUUUUCUCAGGGAAGAAUGAUGACGGUACCUGAGGAAUAAGCAUCGGCUAACUCCGUGCCAGCAGCCGCGGUAAUACGGAGGAUGCAAGCGUUAUCCGGAAUGAUUGGGCGUAAAGCGUCCGCAGGUGGCAAUGUAAGUCUGCUGUCAAAGCGUCUGGCUCAACCAGAUAAAGGCAGUGGAAACUACAUAGCUAGAGUAAGGUAGGGGUAGAGGGAAUUCCUGGUGUAGCGGUGAAAUGCGUAGAGAUCAGGAAGAACACCGGUGGCGAAAGCGCUCUGCUGGACCUUAACUGACACUGAGGGACGAAAGCUAGGGGAGCGAAUGGGAUUAGAUACCCCAGUAGUCCUAGCCGUAAACGAUGGAUACUAGGCGUUGCCCGUAUCGACCCGGGCAGUGUCGUAGCUAACGCGUUAAGUAUCCCGCCUGGGGAGUACGCAGGCAACUGUGAAACUCAAAGGAAUUGACGGGGGCCCGCACAAGCGGUGGAGUAUGUGGUUUAAUUCGAUGCAACGCGAAGAACCUUACCAGGGCUUGACAUGUCCGGAAUCCUCUUGAAAGGGAGGAGUGCCUUCGGGAACCGGAACACAGGUGGUGCAUGGCUGUCGUCAGCUCGUGUCGUGAGAUGUUGGGUUAAGUCCCGCAACGAGCGCAACCCUCGUUCUUAGUUGCCAUCAUUAAGUUGGGAACUCUAAGGAGACUGCCGGUGACAAACCGGAGGAAGGUGGGGAUGACGUCAAGUCAGCAUGCCCCUUACGCCCUGGGCUACACACGUACUACAAUGCUAUGGACAAAGGGCAGCAAGCCAGCGAUGGCAAGCAAAUCUCGUAAACCAUGGCUCAGUUCAGAUCGCAGGCUGCAACUCGCCUGCGUGAAGUCGGAAUCGCUAGUAAUUGCAGGUCAGCAUACUGCAGUGAAUUCGUUCCCGGGCCUUGUACACACCGCCCGUCACACCAUGGAAGCUGGUCACGCCCGAAGUCGUUACCCUAACCUUUCGAGGAGGGGGACGCCGAAGGUAGGACUGGUGACUGGGGUGAAGUCGUAACAAGGUAGCCGUACCGGAAGGUGUGGCUGGAUCACCUCCUU